GGCGUCCGAGUUGUAAUUUGUAGAGGAUGCUAUUGGGUUGCCACCGGUCUAAGUUCCUUGGAACAGGACGUCACAGAGGGUGAGAAUCCCGUACGUGACCGGCCAGGCGCUCUCUGUAUAGCUCCUUCGACGAGUCGGGUUGUUUGGGAAUGCAGCCCUAAAUGGGAGGUAAAUUUCUUCUAAAGCUAAAUACCGGCCAGAGACCGAUAGCGCACAAGUAGAGUGAUCGAAAGAUGAAAAGCACUUUGGAAAGAGAGUUAAAAAGCACGUGAAAUUGUUGAAAGGGAAGCGCUUGCAAUCAGUCUCGACGGCGGCUGUUCGGCCUCUCUUCUGAGUGGUUUAUUCAGUCGCCGCCGGGCCAGCAUCAGUUUCGGCGGCCGGACAAAGGCGCGGGGAAUGUAGCUCCCUCGGGAGUGUUAUAGCCCCGCGCGCAAUACGGCCCGCCGGGACUGAGGUCCGCGCUUCGGCUAGGAUGCUGGCGAAAUGGUUGUAAGCGGCCCGUCUUGAAACACGGACCAAGGAGUCUAACAUCUACGCGAGUGUUUGGGUGUCAAACCCGUGCGCGCAAUGAAAGUGAACGGAGGUGGGAACCGCAAGGUGCACCAUCGACCGAUCCUGAUGUCUUCGGAUGGAUUUGAGUAAGAGCGUAGCUGUUGGGACCCGAAAGAUGGUGAACUAUGCCUGAAUAGGGUGAAGCCAGAGGAAACUCUGGUGGAGGCUCGCAGCGGUUCUGACG
Molecule: ribosomal RNA, 736 nt
Filed under: Elsinoe australis
Lineage: Eukaryota; Fungi; Ascomycota; Dothideomycetes; Myriangiales; Elsinoaceae
Also listed under: 2 other names
Description: eukaryotic LSU rRNA
Rfam family: Eukaryotic large subunit ribosomal RNA
Source: RNAcentral